GGUAGGGUGACAGAGUGGACGAUUGUGGCGGUCUUGAAAACCGUUGUGGCGAGAGUCACCGUGGGUUCGAAUCCCACCCCUACCGCCA
RNAcentral lists this transfer RNA (88 nucleotides) under Dehalococcoidia bacterium. RNAcentral describes it as "tRNA-Ser". It matches the Rfam family "tRNA". From Rfam's summary of the family: Transfer RNA (tRNA) molecules are approximately 80 nucleotides in length. Their secondary structure includes four short double-helical elements and three loops (D, anti-codon, and T loops). Lineage: Bacteria; Bacillati; Chloroflexota; Dehalococcoidia. The record is from RNAcentral. RNAcentral also lists the same sequence under 1 other name.